RNAcentral lists this ribosomal RNA (620 nucleotides) under Vibrio alginolyticus. RNAcentral describes it as "bacterial SSU rRNA". It matches the Rfam family "Bacterial small subunit ribosomal RNA", at positions 100 to 716 of the family's 1533-position model. Lineage: Bacteria; Pseudomonadati; Pseudomonadota; Gammaproteobacteria; Vibrionales; Vibrionaceae. The record is from RNAcentral.
GACGGGUGAGUAAUGCCUAGGAAAUUGCCCUGAUGUGGGGGAUAACCAUUGGAAACGAUGGCUAAUACCGCAUGAUGCCUUCGGGCCAAAGAGGGGGACCUUCGGGCCUCUCGCGUCAGGAUAUGCCUAGGUGGGAUUAGCUAGUUGGUGAGGUAAGGGCUCACCAAGGCGACGAUCCCUAGCUGGUCUGAGAGGAUGAUCAGCCACACUGGAACUGAGACACGGUCCAGACUCCUACGGGAGGCAGCAGUGGGGAAUAUUGCACAAUGGGCGCAAGCCUGAUGCAGCCAUGCCGCGUGUGUGAAGAAGGCCUUCGGGUUGUAAAGCACUUUCAGUCGUGAGGAAGGUGGUGUAGUUAAUAGCUGCAUCAUUUGACGUUAGCGACAGAAGAAGCACCGGCUAACUCCGUGCCAGCAGCCGCGGUAAUACGGAGGGUGCGAGCGUUAAUCGGGAAUUACUGGGCGUAAAGCGCAUGCAGGUGGUUUGUUAAGUCAGAUGUGAAAGCCCGGGGCUCAACCUCGGAAUAGCAUUUGAAACUGGCAGACUAGAGUACUGUAGAGGGGGGUAGAAUUUCAGGUGUAGCGGUGAAAUGCGUAGAGAUCUGAAGGAAUACCGGUGGC